Hydra vulgaris (swiftwater hydra) is the source of this 508-nucleotide long non-coding RNA. RefSeq lists it as uncharacterized. Lineage: Eukaryota; Metazoa; Cnidaria; Hydrozoa; Anthoathecata; Hydridae. The record is from RefSeq and is a predicted model, not a curated record.
AUGUAUUCAAAGUAAGAUAAAUACUUUCAAAAGCAGCUCAAAACGGCAAGUAAAUGAAUGACUCAUAAAGCAACCUUUCCUUUGUAUAUCUAGGACAUUCUGAAGCAUAAAGUUUUAAACAACUCUUUUUAAAAAAACUAGGGUAAACAACUUGACUUUUGUGAAGUUUGUUUUUAUUUUUUUCAAACAAUGAUUGCGAUCAUUCUAGUGGCAAUCAUAUUGAAUAACAGCAACGUAUUUCCGCAGAGAAAUUCUUUAAAAUCAACCUGUGCGUAUUUCGACUUCAAGAUGUGCAUGAAAACAAAGAUAAUGGUAGAAAAAAAUGUUGUGUACGACAACUUAGCCAAGCUGGAAAGUGAAGUAACAAGAAAAAAACUCAAGAUUUCCGUUCCAAAAUGCGCCAAAGAAAAGUUUGGGAAGUGGAGAUGCUUCAUUGAAGAAAAACUUGUUUAACUAUUUUUUUUAGUUUAUAAAAUCUUAACUGUAUAUAAAAAAAAUAAUUUGCAAA